AUUGAACGCUGGCGGCAUGCCUUACACAUGCAAGUCGAACGGCAGCACGGGAGCAAUCCUGGUGGCGAGUGGCGAACGGGUGAGUAAUAUAUCGGAACGUGCCCAGUCGUGGGGGAUAACGUAGCGAAAGCUACGCUAAUACCGCAUACGAUCUAUGGAUGAAAGCGGGGGAUCGCAAGACCUCGCGCGAUUGGAGCGGCCGAUAUCAGAUUAGGUAGUUGGUGAGGUAAAGGCUCACCAAGCCGACGAUCUGUAGCUGGUCUGAGAGGACGACCAGCCACACUGGGACUGAGACACGGCCCAGACUCCUACGGGAGGCAGCAGUGGGGAAUUUUGGACAAUGGGCGCAAGCCUGAUCCAGCAAUGCCGCGUGCAGGAUGAAGGCCUUCGGGUUGUAAACUGCUUUUGUACGGAACGAAACGGCGAGCUCUAAUACAGUUUGCUAAUGACGGUACCGUAAGAAUAAGCACCGGCUAACUACGUGCCAGCAGCCGCCGUAA
RNAcentral lists this ribosomal RNA (500 nucleotides) under uncultured bacterium. RNAcentral describes it as "partial 16S ribosomal RNA". It matches the Rfam family "Bacterial small subunit ribosomal RNA", at positions 30 to 523 of the family's 1533-position model. The record is from RNAcentral.